RNAcentral lists this ribosomal RNA (2979 nucleotides) under Triticum aestivum (bread wheat). RNAcentral's name for it is "partial small subunit ribosomal RNA". The record is from RNAcentral. Lineage: Eukaryota; Viridiplantae; Streptophyta; Magnoliopsida; Poales; Poaceae.
AUGACUGCAGAGAGUUAUUAUAUACCGUUACAUAUCUUAAAAGAGAUUACAAAUGGAUUCUCAGCGGACUCAAGAAUAGGAAGGGGUGGAUACGGAGACGUUUACAAGGGAGUUUACAAUAGGAGAGAGGUUGCUGUAAAGUUGCUUCAUGUUGAUACGUUGCUAGGACUUGAUGACCAACGAUAUAUCAAUGAAGUUGGUAACCUUUUGAAGGUUAAGCAUCCAAAUAUCAUACAGUUACUUGGUUAUUGUUAUGAAAUACAGAAUGAACUAAUUGAACACAAUGGUGCAAAUCAAUUUAGCCAACACAUAUAUAGAGUCCUCUGCUUUGAGUACUUGCAGGGUGGAAGCCUAGACAAGCAUCUUUGUGCACAAUCUUUUGCACCUAAUUGGAGCACACGUUACAAUAUUAUAAAGGGGAUUUGUGAAGGUUUAAAUUUCCUUCAUGAAUGCAAACCACAAAUUUGUCAUCUUGAUUUGAAGCCUGCCAAUAUAUUACUAGACAGUUCCAUGGAGCCUAAAGUGGCGGAUUUUGGAUUGUCAAGGCUAUUCACUCCAUCACACACACAUAUCACAGAAAGAAUCAUAGGAACCCGGAAGUACAUGCCACCAGAAUUCCUAAAUGAAGGCAAAAUCUCACCUAAGAAUGACGUCUUCGGUUUCGGUGUUGUAAUGAUCGAGAUAAUGGCAGGACCUGCAGGUUACUCCAAUUCUUUUGAAAUGCAUGAUGUGGCACAAUUAAUGCAGCAGGUACUUACCAAUUGUACAAUGAUUGAAGCCACAUCGAAUAACCGAUCAGAGGAAUUACGUCAGGUGAAAACGUGUAUUGAAUUAGCAAUGCGUUGUGUGGAUUCUGAAAGAGACAAUAGGCCCUCUGUAGCAGAUAUCCUAGAUACCCUGAAUAAGACAGAAACUCAUAUUCCCAAGAGACAGCAUUGCCCUCAAAUCAGUGUUCCCGGGCUGGAGAGGGCCAAGAAGAGGAAGAAGACGGGAGGGAACUUGAAGGGGAUUGCAGAAGAACGUACCCAUUUCACUGUCAUGCAAGAAAAUGCCCCUAGUAUGCUUGAAAACAGGGAUCACCGGGAAACAUCAGCAAAGAUAGGAGCAGAAGUCGUAGGGAGGGACAUGGAAAAACAGGAAAUUAUGGCUCAUUUAUCUGGGAGUACCACACAAGAGAUCACCUUCCUUCCGAUAUAUGGUAUUGGAGGCAUUGGGAAGACAACCAUGGCACAAUUUGUUUUCAAUGAUUCCCAGUUCAAAGAGUACUCUCGGGUUUGGACCUAUGUGUCCCAGACAUUUGAUUUAAAGAAAAUUGGGAAUUCUAUAAUAACACAACUAUCCGGUAGCAAGAGUAUGCAUACUGACCUUCAGAUGAUAGAAAAUAGCCUGCAAAAGCUCCUUUCUGGUAAGAGGGUUCUAAUCAUCUUAGAUGACCUGUGGGAGAGGGAAUCACCUCAGUUAAAAAAGUUGGAGAGUAUGCUAAAUCUGGGUGAAGGGGGCAAAUUGGUGGUGGUAGUAACCACACGAGAAGAAUCUAUUGCACAUAAAAUUCACACUGGCAGAGUGAAGCCAUAUAAGCUAGCUCCCUUAACAGAUGAAAUUUGUUGGACUAUCAUAAAAAAUAAAAGUUCAUUUGAAAACAGAGCUGAAAGAGCGCAGUUAGAGUUGAUCGGAAAGGAAAUUGCAAAGAAGUGUGGAGGUGUGGCUUUAGCAGCCCAAUCUAUUGGGUAUGUGUUGUAUGCUAUGGAAUUUGAUGAAUGGGUGUCGGUGAACAACAGUGAGAUCUGGGACGUGCUUGCCUCAGGAGAAUCAACUCAUCAUGUUCAUGCAUCCUUGCUGCUAAGCUAUCACAUUAUGGAUAAAUACUUGAAGUUAUGCUUUGCUUAUUGUGCAACCUUUCCAAAAGGUCACAAGAUAGCUAAAGAAGAUCUAGCUCACCAAUGGGUUGCUCUUGGACUUGUUGAGCCAUCAAGGACAUUCUCUAAUAUACAAACCAGUCAUAAAUAUAUUCGUCAUCUUUUUGGCAUGUGCUUCCUUGAACAUCCAAGGUCACAAUGGAGUUAUAUGGAUGUCGAUAAUGGAUUCUUGAUCAUGCAUGACCUGGUGCACGAUCUCGGAAGAUCAUUUCUGGCUGAUAAAAUUAUUAUAGAGAGUCCUGCCUGCCAAUAUGCAUGGCUGACAGAUCAUAGAAAGCUAUUUAAGUCAUCAAUGAAUCCACUCGCCAAGCUAUUUAUGUCAUCAAUGAAUCCACUCGCCAAGCUAUUUAAGUCAUCAAUGACUCCACUCGCCAAGAUAAGGGCACUGCAUUUUCUCGACCGUGCUUACUUGCAGCUUAAUGGUGAAGCUUUUUCACCGGCUAAAUGCCUCCUUGUCUUGGAUUUAAGCAGAUGUUGUGCACAAAAGCUGCCUGAUUCUAUUGGUCAACUGAAACAGUUGAGGUAUCUCGAUGCUUCAUGGAACCCCGAGUUUACUGAAUCUUCUGAAUACCAAGCACCACCGGAGUCUUUAUUGAUACCGAAAGCCCUGGGUUCCCUUAAUGAACUCCAAUAUUUGAAUUUAUCAGGUCGCGGAAGACCCAUAGGGCUGCCAGAGGUCAUCAGCGAACUCACGGACCUCCGGUAUUUGAAUAUAUCACAUUGCAUGGGUUAUUAUUUAUUGGACAUCCCAUCAGCAAACCAAAGUUUCAUUGACUGUAUCGGUACCCUUCCUAAUCUAGAGCAGCUGGACAUGUCUUCUAAUAACUAUGGUUUCUGUGUACCUGAAAGUUUCAGCAGACUCAAGAAGCUGAACCUCUCCGACUGCCAGUACAUUGCUAGCCUUCCAGAAAAUGUGGGGAAAGUGGAUAUUCCAAUGCUUUUUGGCUUGUUGUUCCCGCAAAAGGGAGGGUUUCCUGUGCGUGUGGUUGAUAGUGAAUCUAGCAGCAGUCUUGUCUGGCUUAAGCAUACAAAUCCUGAUGUGUUGGGUAUCACUGAUACUUGA